This 424-nucleotide ribosomal RNA is filed under the name uncultured bacterium. Its description in RNAcentral is "bacterial SSU rRNA". It matches the Rfam family "Bacterial small subunit ribosomal RNA", at positions 354 to 796 of the family's 1533-position model. The record is from RNAcentral.
GUGAGGAAUUUUCCGCAAUGGGCGAAAGCCUGACGGAGCGACGCCGUGUGUGCGAUGAAGUCCUUCGGGAUGUAAAGCACUGUCAGCAGGGACGAUAUUGACGGUACCUGCAGAGGAAGGCCCGGCUAACUACGUGCCAGCAGCCGCGGUAAUACGUAGGGGCCAAGCGUUGUCCGGAAUCAUUGGGCGUAAAGGGCGCGUAGGCGGUCCGGUAAGUCAGAUGUUAAAUCUACAGGCUCAACCUGUAGCCGCAUUUGAUACUGCCAGACUAGAGAAUGGUAGAGGAAAGCGGAACUUCCGGUGUAGCGGUGAAAUGCGUAGAUAUCGGAAGGAACACCAGUGGCGAAGGCGGCUUUCUGGGCCAUUUCUGACGCUGAGGCGCGAAAGCCAGGGGAGCAAACGGGAUUAGAAACCCGUGUAGUCC